Molecule: ribosomal RNA, 729 nt
Filed under: uncultured eukaryote
Lineage: Eukaryota
Description: SSU rRNA
Rfam family: Eukaryotic small subunit ribosomal RNA
Source: RNAcentral
CUCAUAGCGUAUAUUAAGUUGUUGCAGUUAAAAAGCUCGUAGUUGAAUUUCUGGUGCAAUCGUAGUCUUGGCUUCGGUCGGGCUAUGGUUGAUCAUCCGUUUGCAAGCUGCACUCGGCCUUCACUGGUUCGGUGUAGUGAGCUGACAUUUUACUUUGAAAAAAUUAGAGUGUUUCAGGCAGGCUUUUGCCCGAAUACAUUAGCAUGGAAUAAUGGAAUUGGACUCUGGUCCAUUUGGUUGGUUAUUGGAUCUGAGUAAUGGUUAAUAGGGACAGUUGGGGGCAUUAGUAUUUAAUUGUCAGAGGUGAAAUUCUUGGAUUUAUUAAAGACUAACUUAUGCGAAAGCAUUUGCCAAGGAUGUUUUCAUUAAUCAAGAACGAAAGUUAGGGGAUAAAAGAUGAUCAGAUACCAUUGUAUUCUUAACUAUAAACUAUACCGACUCGGAAUUGGUAGGGUAUUUUAGCUCUAUCAGCACCGUAGGAGAAAUCAAAGUCUUUGGGUUUUGGGGGGAGUAUAGUCGCAAGGCUGAAACUUAAAGGAAUUGACGGAAGGGCACCACCAGGAGUGGAACCUGCGGCUUAAUUUGACUCAACACGGGGAAACUUACCAGAUCAAAACAUGGGUGGGAUUGACAGAUUGAGAGCUCUUUCUUGAUUCUAUGGGAGGUGGUGCAUGGCCGUUCUUAGUUGGUGGAGUGAUUUGUCUGGUUAAUUCCGUUAACGAACGAGAC